Neofelis nebulosa (Clouded leopard) is the source of this 549-nucleotide long non-coding RNA. RefSeq lists it as uncharacterized. Lineage: Eukaryota; Metazoa; Chordata; Mammalia; Carnivora; Felidae. The record is from RefSeq and is a predicted model, not a curated record. The transcript is spliced from 4 exons.
CUCUGAUAUCCUGAAAUCUCUGCAGCCCUACCUCUGCCAGGAGCAGCACAGGAAUCCACACCCAACUGAUGAGGAAACUAAGGCUCAGAAAGUUCAGGAAACUUGCCAAGAUUACCCACGUGGUUACGAAGAUCUCUACAUCAGAAGAGAAGCUCAGAGCAGCACAGCAUCCUCAGCCCUCCUUCUCUCUUGAAGCAGACACUGAAAGACAGGAGCCGUCUCCAGGCUGGGAGAAAUUUUACCUCAAGAAGCUCAUCCUCUGGCUGCAGAAGUUUCAGUGUAUCAACAGGACCACCUGGAACAAUUGAAGAUAUAUAAUGGUGCCCAUCAAAGGAAUCCACUUCCAUGCCAAGUCUCAGAGUGUGAAUGGGCAGCAACUGUAGCAAAACACAAGCAGUAACAUCAAACAUGACAAGGGCAUAUCCAACUGUUAAUCCCUCUGUCAAGUGUUAUUUUAGCAUGAAAGCCCCACCUCUUAAAUCAGAUCACGAAGAUCCCAGUAGAGGGCAAUAAUGGGAAAACUAAUCACUAAUAAAAUAUGCAACAUUU